This 704-nucleotide long non-coding RNA is filed under the name Capsella rubella. RNAcentral describes it as "long non-coding RNA (CRUB_LNC004784)". Lineage: Eukaryota; Viridiplantae; Streptophyta; Magnoliopsida; Brassicales; Brassicaceae. The record is from RNAcentral.
CCCAAUGCAUAUAUAUGGACCACAUCACCAGUACUUCGCAACUUAGCUGUCGUGUAGGAUUUCACGUGGCAUUUAUUUUCCUUCUAGUUUGUAGUGCAACACACAUUCAUAUUGCAAGUUGAGAUAAUGGUCCCCCGGCUUCAUCGAUCAUUCAUCACCGUCGUCGGUCGAUAUCGUCUCUUUAGCUUAUUAUAGCUCCACAUCGAGAUUCUUCUUUCUUGUUUCUCCUACGUGUAAUAGCAUUUUUCUGAUUUUGGGAGUUCUCUAUACGACCGUUGGAUCUCUCAUUCGAUGGAUAUGAUUUAUACAUCUUUGCCUCCAAGUGGGACCUUUUUGUGUGCUCCAGUGCAUAUGAUCCCAAAGCCAAAAGAGUAUUUCCAAGUGCUUUGAUUCUCUUUCUUUAAGUUCUUUUGUUCCGUUUUUAUGAUCCCCGACUUUGCGUAUUAGCUCUAACUUCUUUUGGUCCGUUUUUACGAUCCAAAAUAUUUCUUCUUAUCACUAAAAUUUUAGUAUGCUUUUACUUUUUAGUUGUGACAUUUCUCGAGUUGAUUCGGUGUAUCUAGCAAUGGAGUUAGAGGACUAUAAUUAAGUAAAAGGAUAAUUAUAAUGUGUUCUGCACUGACUGCACAUGAAAAGAUUGCAAGAAUUAUACACUAGUGUAUAAAAACUCCAUUUCAUAAACUUGAAGUCUCUGGCGAAAAAAA